Molecule: long non-coding RNA, 720 nt
Organism: Nymphaea colorata (pocket water lily)
Lineage: Eukaryota; Viridiplantae; Streptophyta; Magnoliopsida; Nymphaeales; Nymphaeaceae
Exons: 2
Source: RefSeq, a predicted model, not a curated record
UUUUCUUAAAACCUAGUUUUAUCAGACCUUCGUUUUUAAAACCUGAUUUGCAUGUUUGGAUGACAAGGCAAAAACUAGGCUUUCACUUUUCAAAACCUGGUUUGUGUUUGGAUGACAAGAAAUGAGUUUCUAAUAAUACUUGCAAAAAAAAAAAAAAAAUCCAUGCACUUUUGUUAUAGCUAUAACAUUAAGAGCAUUCUCAAAUGUAAAUUUUCAUUAUCUGUCUACAGUCUCAACACAUUGGACAGCCUUACACUAUGUCAUCUUGUGUUACCAAAACUGAGUUUUGAACGAAAAAUCUGGGUCCAGGUUGUUCAUCACUACAUCACAACUUAAUUUUGUGAAACCCAGUUUUCAUGUCUUCCAAACACCGUCAAAAACUUGGUUUUGGAGGUGUCAUCGAAACAGCUUCUAUGAGUUUACCGUGGAAAGGGGAAGGCAGGGAAUUAGAAAGAGCUUGAAGGUGUCUGGCAGAUUCCAGCAUUCUGAAAUCGGGCAUGGUACUGAACAUGCACAGGCGCUGUUUGACGAAAUGCUUGAAAGGGAUGUCGCACAUGGGGCCUAAGGAAGAGGAUGAGGAGACGUUGCUGCCCGCCUGCCCCUCAUUCGGCCCCGCUUGGCGAUGGAGCAAGGGAUGUAGGUUCUGCUACGUGGACUCGCUCUCAUUGUACAACCCUACUUUGAAACUCAUUAAUAAAUGACUUCCAAUAUGAAAGAGAA